CGGAAGUAACGCUCAACACGGACUGUGCCUAAAGUGUGUGGACCGCGGGUUUUGACUCUUGCCACCGCCUUCAAGCUGGACUCAGGUGCUACAGGAAUAUGGCUUCUCACCAGUAUGGACUCUUAUAUGAGAUUUCAAGUUCAUCAGAUCACUGAACCUUUUCCCGCAUGUGCUACAACAAUGUGGUUUCUCACCUGUGUGACUUCUCAUAUUGUAUCCAGUAGUCUGAGCCGCUCUUCCCCAGUCCAGACGAUGAUUCCUUCAGCCUCCUGCUUCACUACAAGCGAGUCUACAUCCUGAGUGGUGGAGACUUCCUCCUGUUCCUCUUUAAUCUGUGGGAGCUCUGGGCUCUGCUUGUUCAGACUGGAAUUUCUCUCCUGGUUACAGACCUGCUGGUCAUCCAGACCCUCCUCUUCCUCACACUUCAUGUUGUUGUGGGAGGUCUUGAGGGACAAACGGACACAACAAAAAGGUUACUUAUGAGAUGAC
Long non-coding RNA from Neolamprologus brichardi, 489 nucleotides. RefSeq lists it as uncharacterized. The record is from RefSeq and is a predicted model, not a curated record. NCBI's taxonomy places the organism in Eukaryota, Metazoa, Chordata, Actinopteri, Cichliformes, Cichlidae.